GAUUCCCUCAGUAACGGCGAGUGAAGCGGGAGAAGCCCAGCGCCGAAUCCCCUGUUCAAACGGACAGUGGGAAAUGUGGCGUUAGAAGGGCGGCGACCGGCGGGGAGUGCCCAUGCCCAAGUCAUUAUCGACCGAGGCCUUUCCCAUAGUGGGUGACAGGCCUUUAGCGGCAUGGGAUUUUCCGUCCACGACCGUCCUCGGAGUCGGGUUGCUUGGGAAUGCAGCCCUAAGACGGGUGGUAUACUCCAUCUAAGGCUAAAUACUGGCACGAGUCCGAUAGCAAACAAGUACCGCGAGGGAAAGUUGAAAAGAACUUUGAAGAGAGAGUUCAAGAGUACGUGAAACCGUCUAGAGGUAAUCGGGUGGACCCGUGAAGUCGGCCCGUGGAAUUCACGCUUUCUAGAGUUCGUUACGGUGUGUACUGGCGAUCCGUGCUCCUCCGACCGUGGGGUGGACGACUCGUCGUCGGGACGUUUGUCUCAUCGUUAUAGCGGCUCUUGGCAUGUGCGCUUUCCACGUGGCAGAGCGUUGCGACCGGUUCGUCGGCGGUGGUAAUGCCUUUGGGGAAGGUAUGUUCGUUGGACGGCGGAUAGUUACUUCGGUGACAUUUCGUUCGACCUCUGUGACCGUUACAGACCCAUGGGAGAUGGCCGCUGUCGGACCGAGGAACGACCACCCGCGCUUGCGGCGCGUCACCGUUCGUCUUGUUCAUGGGGGAUUUAUCUCACCGGACUGGGCUGCAUGGUGCGUCGGCGCGCGGGCUUUGAUAGGGUCAGCAACGAUCGGUCGGUAUUCCACCCGGCCCGUCUUGAAACACGGACCAAGGAGUCCGCCGUGCGCGCGAGUCAUUGGGCCUCACUAAGCCCACAGGCGGAACGAAAGCGAAACUUGGGUGGGAUCCUUGCCCUUUUUUGUGGCGAGGCGCACCACCGGCCUGUCCCGUUCUCGGGGCUGAGCUAGAGCGCGCACGUCGGUACCCGAAAGAUGGUGAUCUAUGCCUGAGUAGGACGAAGGCAGGGGAAACUCUGGUGGAAGUCCGCAGCGAUUCUGACGUGCAAAUCGAUCGUCGAACUUGGGUAUAGGGGCGAAAGACUAAUCGAACCAUCUAGUAGCUGGUUCCCUCCGAAGUUUCCCGUAGGAUAGCUGGCGCUCAUUUAGCAAUUUUAUCCGGUAAAGCGAAGGAUUAGAGUUUCCGGGGACGCAACGUGCCUCGCGCUAUUCUCAAACUUUAAAUGGGUAAGGUGCCGCCAUGUCUCGCUUGAUUUGGAGCGCGGACGAGAAUGAGAGCGCUUAGUGGGCCACUUUUGGUAAGCAGAACUGGCGCUGUGGGAUGAACCAAACGUUCGGUUAAGGCGCCCAACUCGACGCCGAUACAGAUACCAUGAAAGGUGUUGCGCGAUCCUGACAGCAGGGCGGUGGCCAUGGAAGUUGAAACCCGCUAAGGAGUGUGUAACAACUCACCUGCCGAAUCGCGCAGCCCUGAAAAUGGAUGGCGCUAGAGCGUCGGGCCGAUACCGGACCGCCGCGGCAAAAACAUUUCGAUAUGAUGCUGCGUCGAGUAGGAGGGUGCGCCGCGGUGAGCGCGGAAGCUUGUGGCGUGAGCCUGAGCGGAGCCGCCGCGGGUGCAGAUCUUGGUGGUAGUAGCAAAUACUCGAAUGGGACCUUCGAGGGCUGAAGUGGAGAAGGGUUCCUCGUGGACAGCACUUGCUGGAGGGUUAGUCGGCCCUAAGAGAUAGGAGAACUCUGAUUGCAUCGGGCCAUGGACGUCUUUCUAAAAGAGCGGUUCCGGCCCAGUUUAUCUCGAAAGGGAAUCAGGUUCAUAUUCCUGUACCGGUCGCGGCUGAGGGGUUUAUUCAUCGAGUUUAUCUUGCGCGGUAACGCAAUCGAAACCGGAGACGCCGGCGCCAGCCUCGGGAAGAGCCAUCUUUUCUUUGUAAGGGCCCCACUUCCCUGGAAGCGAAUUACUCGGCGAUAGGGAAACGGGUAUAGCUUGCCCGAAAAGCAUCGCGCGUCAGCGGUGUCCGUUGUGCUGGCGACGGUCCUUGAAAAUCCGGCGGAGAUAAGAUAAGUUCGCGACCGGCCGUACCGAUAUCCGCAGCAGGUCUCCAAGGUUAACAGCCUC
This 2122-nucleotide ribosomal RNA is filed under the name Pyropelta sp. SWA-2009. RNAcentral's name for it is "eukaryotic LSU rRNA". It matches the Rfam family "Eukaryotic large subunit ribosomal RNA", at positions 73 to 1883 of the family's 3401-position model. Lineage: Eukaryota; Metazoa; Mollusca; Gastropoda; Lepetellida; Pyropeltidae. The record is from RNAcentral.